This 253-nucleotide ribosomal RNA is filed under the name uncultured bacterium. RNAcentral describes it as "partial 16S ribosomal RNA". It matches the Rfam family "Bacterial small subunit ribosomal RNA", at positions 524 to 776 of the family's 1533-position model. The record is from RNAcentral.
UACGUAGGGACCAAGCGUUGUCCGGAAUCAUUGGGCGUAAAGAGCGUGUAGGCGGCGUGUUAAGUCUUGCGUGAAAUCUCGGGGCUCAACCCCGAGCGGUCGUGAGAAACUGGCAGGCUAGAGUGCGGGAGAGGAGAGUGGAAUUCCUGGUGUAGCGGUGAAAUGCGCAGAUAUCAGGAAGAACACCCGUGGCGAAGGCGGCUCUCUGGAACGCAACUGACGCUGAGACGCGAAAGCGUGGGGAGCAAACAGG